GGAAUAUUGCACAAUGGGCGAAAGCCUGAUGCAGCGACACCGCGUGCGGGAUGAAGGCCUUCGGGUUGUAAACCGCUUUCAGGAGGGACGAAAAUGACGGUACCUCCAGAAGAAGCCCCGGCCAACUACGUGCCAGCAGCCGCGGUAACACGUAGGGGGCGAACGUUGUCCGGAUUUAUUGGGCGUAAAGGGCUCGUAGGCGGUUCAGCAAGUCGGCCGUGAAAACCCGGGGCUCAACCCCGGGACGCCGGUCGAAACUGCUGUGACUAGGGUCCGGUAGAGGUCACUGGAAUUCUCGGUGUAGCGGUGAAAUGCGCAGAUAUCGAGAGGAACACCAGUAGCGAAGGCGGGUGACUGGGCCGGUACCGACGCUGAGGAGCGAAAGCGUGGGGAGCAAACAGGAUUAGAUACCCCCGUAGUCC
RNAcentral lists this ribosomal RNA (422 nucleotides) under uncultured prokaryote. Its description in RNAcentral is "bacterial SSU rRNA". It matches the Rfam family "Bacterial small subunit ribosomal RNA", at positions 358 to 796 of the family's 1533-position model. The record is from RNAcentral.